UACGUAGGGGGCAAGCGUUGUCCGGAUUUAUUGGGCGUAAAGAGCGUGUAGGCGGCUUGGCAAGUCCGCUGUGAAAACUCGAGGCUCAACCUCGAGCCGUCGGUGGAAACUGCUUGGCUAGAGUCCGGAAGAGGAGAGUGGAAUUCCUGGUGUAGCGGUGAAAUGCGCAGAUAUCAGGAAGAACACCUAUGGCGAAGGCAGCUCUCUGGGACGGUACUGACGCUGAGACGCGAAAGCGUGGGGAGCGAACAGGAUUAGAUACCCCAGUAGUCC
RNAcentral lists this ribosomal RNA (273 nucleotides) under uncultured bacterium. RNAcentral's name for it is "partial 16S ribosomal RNA". It matches the Rfam family "Bacterial small subunit ribosomal RNA", at positions 524 to 796 of the family's 1533-position model. The record is from RNAcentral.